RNAcentral lists this long non-coding RNA (2130 nucleotides) under Daucus carota (carrot). RNAcentral describes it as "long non-coding RNA (DCAR_LNC006111)". The record is from RNAcentral. Lineage: Eukaryota; Viridiplantae; Streptophyta; Magnoliopsida; Apiales; Apiaceae.
UAUUUUCAUGUCAUAAACGAUCCAAAGGGGUACCAAUUAUUUGUAAAUAUAAAUAGACCUUUCUAGAGCUUAUUUUCACCCGUAAAAUCAUUUCACCAGUUUCUUUCCACGAAUACCGAGAGAAACCGAGCGGUGUUCUUCGUGUUCUUCAUAAUCAAACGAAGAUUUGAAGGUGUUAUUGGAGUCAGAAUCAAGCGUGCAAAUAGUCAAAUCGAAGAUAUCGAAGAGUAGAACCCAAAUCAAUCAUCAAAAACAACAUGAGAUUCACAGGUAGGGAGUAAUUGAAGUUUUAAAAUUCGAAUUAUUAUGAUUUAAAUAGUGAAUUUUUGCAAACGUGGUUGUUUGAUUGUUUUGAUGAUUCCAUGUUGUAGUACGUGCUUUUCUCGUCGUUUUGGUAUAUUAUAUGUUGAAUUUUGAGUUCGGAAUCAUAUAGAAACAGUGGUUUAAUUCUUGAGUUGAGUGUUCUUGGUGUUCUUGAGGUUCCUCGCCGGAAAACUCAAGCUCUUCGCCGGAAUUUUGAUCCGUUAAGUCUGGGAAGUAGUGGAAUAUAUGAAUAGAAAGAGGAGAGAAAGGGGAGUAUGCUGGUGUGCUUGGUUUGAGCGGAGGUGGCUCGAAUCGCCGCCAUCGGCGGCGGGAAGUCGCCGACUUCGGCCGGAUUUUCCGGCGAAUUCGCGCGACUUCUGCCUAAUUAAAGAUGGGGGAUUGAUUUAUGGGUGUGUGUACUACUUAUCUGGAGUAGAUGGUGAGUGGAGGACGCCUGGAAACGAAUUUCCGGCGAGUUAGUGUGGUGGCCGGCGGCUUAUUGCUGUUUGGUCACCGAAGUUUUGAAGAUGAUGAAGUUUUUGUACUCAGGUUUUGAAACUUGUGAAUUACCCCCUGUAACUUUGAAAAAUUGCACUUUAAACCCUGGACAAAACUUUCAAAAGUUUACACUUUAAACCUUUGAUUUUAAUUUUCAAAAAUUGUUUUAUUUAAUUAUUUUAAUUUCAAUAAAAUGCUUUUUAAUUAUUUCUUUAUUCAAAAAUAAAUCUAAAUUAGUUUGUUAAUUAAUUUUAAUUAGUAAUUAAUUAUUUAAUUGGUCAAUUAAUUUAAAUAUUAAUUGAUUAAUUAUUUUAAUUAAUUAUUAAUUGAUUUUAAUUGAUUAAUUAAUUGGAUUUAAUUAAUCCUUUUUGAUUUAAAAAUUCCGAAAAAUAGUUUCGAGCUUUAAAAUAUUUUUCCAAAUUAUUUUCAAGGCUCGAUAAUUGUUUAUGAAUGAUUUCAAGUCCAAUUUCAAGUAUUUGGGACUUGAUUAUUUAUCCGAAAAGUGAUUCUUUUAUCGAUUUUAAUUCCGAAAAAUGUUUAAAAAUUCCAGAAAAUUCCCGAAAAAUCAUUUUUAACCCAAGACUUGAUUUAAUAUCAAUUGGGAUGGGAAACCUUAUAUGUUGUGUGUUGUCUGCUAUUGGUUGGAUGUGUUAUGUGCCGAUAGGAGAGUGAGAAAACUGUUUUGAGCAUAACUUUUGAUCCGUAAGUCGGAAUCAAGUGAAACGAAAGAGAGACAGAAGCUUAUAACGUCUAUUUUAAUAUGAUGUGACUAUAUGGCUGAGUCUAUAAGGUGAAUAAUUGUUGAUAAGUAUGCAUAAUGUGAUAAUAUGUGAUCUAAGUGCUAUCAGGUGAUGAUUAUGUGAAGUACGUGUUAGUUUUGAUAUUGUGAAGUGAUAAAUGAUUCGUAUGAUUGAUAUUGGAUAAGAAUAUAUGGAUUAUAGCUAUUGGAUUUUGUUGGUUGAUUAAUGAUUGGGAUAAGAUAAUAGGUGGAUAGUCUUAUACAUAGACGAGACGAUGUCGGAUUUUCGAUAAGGAUUUAUAUGAUAAUUGAUUGGUGAUAUGUUAUGUGGAAUAUGAUUGACUAUAUGUUAGAGUCAAAGCAUGCUUAUGUGUUACGUGGUAUCUGAUAAGUUUAAAGGGAUAUAUAAGUGGGUAUCGAUAUACGUGAUAUGUAUAUGCGAUAUAUUGUUUAGUGACUAUAGUAUUAUCUUAUUCUCGUAAAGGAUUUGGACGAGACGUGUACGCUCGAAGACGUCAGGAAGUCGAAAUGGUAUUGCAAAGCGAAUAAGGGAUGAAUCGAGUAAGCGAAGCGAUGUGGCGAAUAGAGUA